Molecule: unclassified non-coding RNA, 200 nt
Filed under: fungal sp.
Lineage: Eukaryota; Fungi
Description: partial internal transcribed spacer 2
Source: RNAcentral
UUAAGUUCAGCGGGUAUUCCUACCUGAUCCGAGGUCAACCUUAGAAAUUGGUUAAAAAAGACCGGGUCAAAAGGCCACUAUGAUGCGUGCUGGUUAAAGCUCGUUGCAUCUAGGGUCCAACUGACACCGUCAUUAUCUUUAGGGCCUGUCUUUUAACGACAAGAGGUCCAACAGCAAGCCGGGCUUGAUUAGUGAUAAUG